This 74-nucleotide transfer RNA is filed under the name Perkinsus olseni. RNAcentral's name for it is "tRNA-Thr". It matches the Rfam family "tRNA". Rfam says of the family: Transfer RNA (tRNA) molecules are approximately 80 nucleotides in length. Their secondary structure includes four short double-helical elements and three loops (D, anti-codon, and T loops). Lineage: Eukaryota; Perkinsozoa; Perkinsida; Perkinsidae. The record is from RNAcentral.
AGCCUUCUUAGCUUAGUUGGUAGAGCACCCGCUUAGUAAGCGGGAGGUCGUCGGUUCAACUCCGGCGAAGGCUU